RNAcentral lists this ribosomal RNA (550 nucleotides) under uncultured bacterium. Its description in RNAcentral is "bacterial SSU rRNA". It matches the Rfam family "Bacterial small subunit ribosomal RNA", at positions 355 to 896 of the family's 1533-position model. The record is from RNAcentral.
UAGGGAAUCUUCGGCAAUGGGGGCAACCCUGACCGAGCAACGCCGCGUGAGUGAAGAAGGUUUUCGGAUCGUAAAGCUCUGUUGUAAGUCAAGAACGAGUGUGAGAGUGGAAAGUUCACACUGUGACGGUAGCUUACCAGAAAGGGACGGCUAACUACGUGCCAGCAGCCGCGGUAAUACGUAGGUCCCGAGCGUUGUCCGGAUUUAUUGGGCGUAAAGCGAGCGCAGGCGGUUUGAUAAGUCUGAAGUUAAAGGCUGUGGCUCAACCAUAGUUCGCUUUGGAAACUGUCAAACUUGAGUGCAGAAGGGGAGAGUGGAAUUCCAUGUGUAGUGGUGAAAUGCGUAGAUAUAUGGAGGAACACCGGUGGCGAAAGCGGCUCUCUGGUCUGUAACUGACGCUGAGGCUCGAAAGCGUGGGGAGCGAACAGGAUUAGAUACCCUGGUAGUCCACGCCGUAAACGAUGAGUGCUAGGUGUUGGAUCCUUUCCGGGAUUCAGUGCCGCAGCUAACGCAUUAAGCACUCCGCCUGGGGAGUACGACCGCAAGGUUG